This 80-nucleotide microRNA precursor is filed under the name Vicugna pacos (alpaca). RNAcentral describes it as "miRNA (ENSVPAG00000017288.1)". The stretch from base 5 to 75 matches the Rfam family "mir-29 microRNA precursor family". Rfam says of the family: This family represents the microRNA (miRNA) precursors mir-29. Animal miRNAs are transcribed as ~70nt precursors and subsequently processed by the Dicer enzyme to give a ~22nt product. Lineage: Eukaryota; Metazoa; Chordata; Mammalia; Artiodactyla; Camelidae. The record is from RNAcentral.
UUCUGGAAGCUGGUUUCACAUGGCGGCUUAGAUUUUUUCAUCUUUGUAUCUAGCACCAUUUGAAAUCAAUGUUUUAGGAG